AUUCCAGCUCCAAUAGCGUAUAUUAAUGUUGUUGCAGUUAAAAAGCUCGUAGUUGGAUUUCUGGUUGGACCGCGAUGCCGGACUCGCAAGGGUUCGUGAUUGUUGUGGUUUCCUUCCAUCCUCAGGUUUGCGCGUGCUGGCCUUAACUGGUCGGUGUGUGUGGUCCUGUCGUUUACUGUGAACAAAUUAGAGUGUUCAAAGCAAGGUGUACUUGAAUACAUUAGCAUGGAAUAAUAAGAUAGGACUUUGGUGGUUCUUUUUGAUAUUUUGUUGGUUUGCACGCCAAAGUAAUGAUUAAUAGGAGCAGUUGGGGGUAUUCGUAUUCAAUUGUCAGAGGUGAUGUUCUUGGAUUUAUAGAAGACGAACUACUGCGAAAGCAUUUACCAAGGAUGUUUUCAUCG
RNAcentral lists this ribosomal RNA (401 nucleotides) under Pedinellales sp. Its description in RNAcentral is "partial small subunit ribosomal RNA". It matches the Rfam family "Eukaryotic small subunit ribosomal RNA", at positions 582 to 975 of the family's 1831-position model. Lineage: Eukaryota; Dictyochophyceae; Pedinellales. The record is from RNAcentral.